GAACAAAAACUCAUCUCAGAAGAGGAUCUGAAU
RNAcentral lists this unclassified non-coding RNA (33 nucleotides) under unidentified. Its description in RNAcentral is "MYC-TAG". The record is from RNAcentral.